GAAAGACUUAGCAGGUUGCGCUCAAUCGCAAGAGACCAGGAAAAGUAUUCCAACCGUGUAUGCAAUAGAGGGAAGAACCAUAAAUCUGUGCCGGUCAGCGGCAAUGACCAUCACUUUCUGAACAAGUGUGACCUGAUGAUGCAGUCACCAGUCUUGUCUCAGGCAGAGGACUGGAACUAACACAAGUGAGGCCAGAAGUGGACUGAGAACACAGGCAAUAAGAUGGGGACUUGAGACUGGCUCAUCGACUGUGCAGAGGAUGAAGGAAAUACCCUCCUGGUUGGCAAGUAAGCAGGGAUAGUCUCCGUCACAAGUGUUCUGAGAAGGAGUUCAUUGACUUCACCAGAUGCCAAAGGCGUCAAUGGCAUACAAAAAGAAGGUUAGGACCCAGGUUGGGUUGACUCAGUUUCCC
Molecule: long non-coding RNA, 412 nt
Filed under: Equus caballus (horse)
Lineage: Eukaryota; Metazoa; Chordata; Mammalia; Perissodactyla; Equidae
Description: lncRNA (ENSECAG00000050111.1)
Source: RNAcentral